GUUAUUGAUAUUCAGGGCGUAAAAAUACCCUCCUAAGGGGAAGGUAGCAGGUUCGAGUCCUGCCGGGGGUACCA
Molecule: transfer RNA, 74 nt
Filed under: Marinobacter lutaoensis
Lineage: Bacteria; Pseudomonadati; Pseudomonadota; Gammaproteobacteria; Pseudomonadales; Marinobacteraceae
Description: tRNA-OTHER
Source: RNAcentral